RNAcentral lists this transfer RNA (74 nucleotides) under Desulforamulus ferrireducens. Its description in RNAcentral is "Desulfotomaculum ferrireducens tRNA". It matches the Rfam family "tRNA". From Rfam's summary of the family: Transfer RNA (tRNA) molecules are approximately 80 nucleotides in length. Their secondary structure includes four short double-helical elements and three loops (D, anti-codon, and T loops). Lineage: Bacteria; Bacillati; Bacillota; Clostridia; Eubacteriales; Peptococcaceae. The record is from Rfam by way of RNAcentral.
CGGGGCGUAGCGCAGUUUGGUAGCGCGCUGCGUUCGGGACGCAGAGGCCGCAGGUUCAAAUCCUGUCGCCCCGA